Molecule: ribosomal RNA, 367 nt
Filed under: uncultured bacterium
Lineage: Bacteria
Description: partial 16S ribosomal RNA
Rfam family: Bacterial small subunit ribosomal RNA
Source: RNAcentral
AUACGUAGGGGGCGAGCGUUAUCCGGAAUUAUUGGGCGUAAAGAGUGCGUAGGUGGUUUUGUAAGCGCGGGGUGAAAGGCAAUGGCUCAACCAUUGUAAGCCCUGCGAACUGUGAGACUUGAGUGCAGGAGAGGAAAGUGGAAUUCCUAGUGUAGCGGUGAAAUGCGUAGAUAUUAGGAGGAACACCAGUGGCGAAGGCGACUUUCUGGACUGUAACUGACACUGAGGCACGAAAGCGUGGGGAGCAAACAGGAUUAGAUACCCUGGUAGUCCACGCCGUAAACGAUGAGCACUAGGUGUCGGGGUCGCAAGGCUUCGGUGCCGCAGUUAACGCAUUAAGUGCUCCGCCUGGGGAGUACGCACGCAA